AUUGCCCCAGUAACGGCGAGUGAAGCGGCAACAGCUCAAAUUUGAAAUCUGGCUCUCGGGCCCGAGUUGUAAUUUGUAGAGGAUGCUUUUGGUGAGGUGCCUUCCGAGUUCCCUGGAACGGGACGCCAUAGAGGGUGAGAGCCCCGUCUGGUUGGACGCCGAACCUCUGUAAAGCUCCUUCGACGAGUCGAGUAGUUUGGGAAUGCUGCUCUAAAUGGGAGGUAUAUGUCUUCUAAAGCUAAAUACCGGCCAGAGACCGAUAGCGCACAAGUAGAGUGAUCGAAAGAUGAAAAGAACUUUGAAAAGAGAGUUAAACAGUACGUGAAAUUGUUGAAAGGGAAGCGCUUGUGACCAGACUUGGGCUUGGUUGAUCAUCCGGGGUUCUCCCCGGUGCACUCUUCCGGCCUAGGCCAGCAUCAGUUCGCCCUGGGGGAUAAAGGCUUCGGGAACGUGGCUCUCUCCGGGGAGUGUUAUAGCCCGCUGCGUAAUACCCUGUGGCGGACUGAGGUUCGCGCAUUCGCAAGGAU
RNAcentral lists this ribosomal RNA (527 nucleotides) under Fusarium solani. RNAcentral describes it as "eukaryotic LSU rRNA". It matches the Rfam family "Eukaryotic large subunit ribosomal RNA", at positions 74 to 624 of the family's 3401-position model. Lineage: Eukaryota; Fungi; Ascomycota; Sordariomycetes; Hypocreales; Nectriaceae. The record is from RNAcentral.